CCUACGGGCGGCAGCAGUGGGGAAUAUUGGUCAAUGGGCUUACGCCUGAACCAGCCAAGUCGCGUGAGGGAAGACUGCCCUCUGGGUUGUAAACCUCUUUUGUCGGGGAGCAACGCCUGCUACGUGUAUCCUGACUGAGAGUCCCUGCAGACAAAGCCUCGGCUAACUCCGUGCCAGCAGCCGCGGUAAUACGGAGGAUGCGAGCGUUAUCCGGAGUUAUUGGGUGUAAAGGGUGCGUAGGCGGAAUGCCAAGUCAGCGGUAAAAUCGCGGGGCUCAACCUCGCUCCGCCGUUGAAACUGGGGUUCUUGAGUGGGCGAGAAGUAUGCGGAAUGCGUGGUGUAGCGGUGAAAUGCAUAGAUAUCACGCAGAACUCCGAUUGCGAAGGCAGCAUACCGGCGCCAAACUGACGCUGAAGCACGAAAACGUGGGUAUCGAACAGGAUUAGAUACCCCUGGUAGUC
This 461-nucleotide ribosomal RNA is filed under the name uncultured bacterium. Its description in RNAcentral is "partial 16S ribosomal RNA". It matches the Rfam family "Bacterial small subunit ribosomal RNA", at positions 338 to 795 of the family's 1533-position model. The record is from RNAcentral.